UGGGGAAUAUUGUGCAAUGGGGGAAACCCUGACACAGCGACGCCGCGUGAGUGAAGAAGGCCUUCGGGUCGUAAAGCUCAAUAGUAUGGGAAGAUAGUGACGGUACCAUACGAAAGCCCCGGCUAACUACGUGCCAGCAGCCGCGGUAAUACGUAGGGGGCGAGCGUUGUCCGGAAUUACUGGGCGUAAAGAGCACGUAGGCGGCUAUAAAAGUCAGAUGUGAAAAACCUGGGCUCAACCGAGGGUAUGCAUCUGAAACUAAAUAGCUUGAGUCAAGGAGAGGAGAGCGGAAUUCCUGGUGUAGCGGUGAAAUGCGUAGAGAUCAGGAAGAAUACCAGUGGCGAAAGCGGCUCUCUGGACUUGAACUGACGCUGAGGUGCGAAAGCGUGGGGAGCAAACAGG
Molecule: ribosomal RNA, 402 nt
Filed under: Bacillota bacterium
Lineage: Bacteria; Bacillati; Bacillota
Description: Firmicutes bacterium partial 16S ribosomal RNA
Rfam family: Bacterial small subunit ribosomal RNA
Source: RNAcentral